UUUUAUGUUUUUUGGGAAUUUCAUUUAAGAUACAUAAGUGGAUUAUUGGCUAGUACUUUAAAGGUAUAAUACGUAGUCUAGCUUUUGUCGAUUGGUGUUUGUGAACACAGCGUUUAAGUUGCCCCCCCUACCCAGGUCAAUAAAGAGAGAGAGAGAGAGAACGCAGCAGUGGUCGAGCGAGCUAGAGAGGGAAUUAAAAGAGGGAGUGGCGAACAAGCCUUGGAUCAGAGGAAUAAAACAUUAUUUUCGGAUUGUUUCACGGCGGUUACAUUCUAAAGCA
Sander lucioperca (pikeperch) is the source of this 280-nucleotide long non-coding RNA. RefSeq lists it as uncharacterized. Lineage: Eukaryota; Metazoa; Chordata; Actinopteri; Perciformes; Percidae. The record is from RefSeq and is a predicted model, not a curated record. The transcript has 2 exons.